UUUAGAGGAAGUAAAAGUCGUAACAAGGUCUCCGUUGGUGAACCAGCGGAGGGAUCAUUACCGAGUUUACAACUCCCAAACCCCUGUGAACAUACCUAUACGUUGCCUCGGCGGAUCAGCCCGCGCCCCGUAAAACGGGACGGCCCGCCCGAGGACCCCUAAACUCUGUUUUUAGUGGAACUUCUGAGUAAAACAAACAAAUAAAUCAAAACUUUCAACAACGGAUCUCUUGGUUCUGGCAUCGAUGAAGAACGCAGCAAAAUGCGAUAAGUAAUGUGAAUUGCAGAAUUCAGUGAAUCAUCGAAUCUUUGAACGCACAUUGCGCCCGCCAGUAUUCUGGCGGGCAUGCCUGUUCGAGCGUCAUUUCAACCCUCAAGCUCAGCUUGGUGUUGGGACUCGCGGUAACCCGCGUUCCCCAAAUCGAUUGGCGGUCACGUCGAGCUUCCAUAGCGUAGUAAUCAUACACCUCGUUACUGGUAAUCGUCGCGGCCACGCCGUUAAACCCCAACUUCUGAAUGUUGACCUCGGAUCAGGUAGGAAUACCCGCUGAACUUAAGCAUAUCAAUAAG
RNAcentral lists this ribosomal RNA (569 nucleotides) under uncultured fungus. RNAcentral describes it as "eukaryotic LSU rRNA". The stretch from base 210 to 363 matches the Rfam family "5.8S ribosomal RNA". Lineage: Eukaryota; Fungi. The record is from RNAcentral.